Molecule: non-coding RNA, 7159 nt
Organism: Lepisosteus oculatus (spotted gar)
Lineage: Eukaryota; Metazoa; Chordata; Actinopteri; Semionotiformes; Lepisosteidae
Source: RefSeq, a predicted model, not a curated record
AGAAGAAAAUCAUGAAGUACAUCUAAAGAAGCUUCCGAACUCUCUAAUGCGGAUAAUCUAUUGUAUAUGUAGACUUCAGAACCAACUUUAUGAGCAUUAAAACUGCUGUUAACAUACAGUAUCUAAGCGGUGUUAUUGCAUUCACAUAGACAGAAUCUGUACAGAGAACUCUGUAUUGAAUUUCGCCACUGUGGGGCGUUUUGUGCACAUUUCUGUAGUUAAUUUGCUUUAUGUAUCUGAUCGGACAAGAAGCUCGCGAAGGAACUGAACUGUUGUAAUUGCCUUGGUGGAGGUGAUGGCGUCAUUCCGUGCCCCGGUGUAGCCUCCCGUGCUCGAAAGAAGAAGGGAGAAGGAUUUUAGGCCGAGGCGAUCGUGGCUCCCGCAGCCGGGAUCGAGCAGCGCCAACCCGGACACCUCACCCCAACAAAUAUGGAGGCUGUGUCGGAGGAGCUGCGGGCCGGCUCUCGGAUUCCGGUGCUCAUCGAGCAGAUAGUAAAUGAUACAUUAGUGGUGACCCUCAGCUACAGAGAUCGGAGCUACACAGGAAUAUUAUUAGACUGCAACAAAAAGACUGGGCUAUUUUGUCUACCAGACGUAUUGAAGCAGAGUGAACCUCCAGUAUCAAAACCCAGUGGAAUGCUAGAUGAAAAAAUGUGCUUUGAGCCUUCUGUCAAGCCUCAGCUACAACCAAGCGGUGAAACGACCCAGGUGAUCCCUGAGAAUCAGCCUGUCUCUACUCCUGCUCCUGUACCUACAGGGCUUCCCCCAUACCCUCCUUAUUUUGAUGGGGUUCCUUUUCCACAGCCCCUGUGGGUCCGGCAUAGCUACAACCAGUGGGUCCCUCAGCCUCCACCAAGGACUAUCAAAAGAAGAAAACGACGAAGCCGGGAUUCCAGCAGAUUGACCAUGAGUACGAUUAGAUUACGACCCAGACAGGUUCUCUGUGAGAAGUGCAAAAACACAUUAAACAGCGAUGAUGAUAACAAAGACGGACAAAAUUCUAAAGCUGCUAAAAAGGAGAACGCUGAAGUUAAGGAGUCCAAAAGGCGCGAGGAAAUGGACUUUGACGGUAAAAGAUGGAAAAAGGAGAAAAAAGAUGAAGACCGGUUUCCAGGGGAAAUUGUUCCUCACAGUCCAGUUAUCAAGAUAUCUUAUAGUACUCCACAAGGAAAAGGGGAAGUGAUGAAAAUUCCCUCAAGAGUGCAUGGCUCAGUAAAGCCAUUCUGCCCAAAGCAGUUGAUGCAGAAUGGCAUUGGGGACCACAACAAAAGCAGAGACCUUCAAGAAAACAAAAGCCUUCUUGAAAAGUCAGGAAGUUGCUCAGCUACAUCCAUUCCAAAACUCAAACUAACAAGGCCUUUGCAUUCCAGUGUGGAUGUUCCAUCUCCAAAAAUCAGACUAAAACCUCGAAACAGCGGAGAGGACAGCAUUUCAAUAUAUGAGGCCGAACUUGUAGAUGGUCCACGGAGACAAAGCCAGCAGAUGCAGAGAUCAGUUCAUACCGAUAUGCAUUCAGAAGACUCUGUUGAGAAGAGUUCACUUGAGAUGUCCUCAGGUAGCUCCGGGGAAGAGGAUGAGUUUAAGAAGCAACACAGUGAUGUGGAGCAACACAGUGAUUUGACUUUGCUGCUUAAUUUUCGUAAGAGAAAAGCGGACUCGUCUAGUUUGUCUGUCUGCAGCAGUGACAGUUUGGAUGAAUCAAAAUCUUGCAGCUCAGAUGGGACAUCUCCAGAGUUGUGCGACUUUGCUCCUGGAGAAGAUAUAUCUGUUUCAUCAUCUUCAAAAGAUGAGCAGAAGACUGUUCCACCCUUAACGGUUCGACUAAACACCAAAAGUGUGACUAAGUGUGUAACAGAGGAAGGACGAACUGUAUCGGUCGGAGACAUAGUGUGGGGUAAAAUUCAUGGAUUUCCAUGGUGGCCCGCCCGCGUUCUGAGCAUUAGCACAAGCAGAAAGGAUGAAAGGGAGCCACUUUGGCAGGAAGCAAAAGUGUCCUGGUUUGGCUCACCCACAACCUCCUUGCUCUCCGUGUCAAAACUCUCACCCUUUCUGGAGUUUUUCCGUUUGAGAUUUAACCGAAAGAAGAAAGGAAUGUAUCGGAGAGCUAUUGCAGAAGCUGCCAAGGCAGCUGAACAUUUGACCCCAGAAAUAGCCUCUCUUCUCACACAUUGUGAAACGUAGGAUGUCAGUCACACAGCAAAUGACAGGAAUUGAACUGGGGACUGUGAGUAAUGUAUGCUUCAAAAGUAGGUUCAAUCUGCGAGCAGGUAAUUGACCAUUUAAAUAAGGAAGUGUAGUACUGGGUCUAGGUGUCCUAAUAGUUACACGAUUGCACUGUUUCUGUGGAACAUAGACCACCAUGUAGGCCUACAUUAAUUAAAGUCCUGUAUAUCCAAAUAUUAAUCUAUGGAAUUUCUUUCCCUAUUUUUUGUGGUUUGAGUAAGGUACUGCGGUACCUUCUCAUUUAGGGGAUUUAAUUUCGUGUACUUUGAAACCUAAAUUUUCUUGAUCUGAACCUAUUAUAACUUAUAAGCCAAAAAAUGUUCGAAAUGACCAUUGCUAUGACAAUCCUUUUAUUCUCCCACCAUGGGAUUUAUAAAAGAUGAAAAGGUGUCCAUCUUUUUUUACAUAUUGAAAUACAAUUCUCCAAAAAAACACGAGAACUUCUUUUGUGUAAUAGUUUUCGUUUUGACACAAAUAAGAAUACAGUAUAUAUAAGAUACAUCACAUUAGUUAAUAAUAGUUAAACUUUCAAAACGCAUACCACGUAGAUUCCAAACGUGCUUAACUCUCUCCUGAGUUUAUAUUUUAUAUCAUAUUUCACAAGCUCAUAAUCAAAUUGUGGUUAUGUAAGGCUUGAUUGCCUUUAAUUUUUCAGUAGUGUGUUGGUGAACAUGGAAUACAGUUCUGAAUCAUUCAGGAAUCCUUUUCCCUGCUGGAUAAACACCAUGGAUUCAGCCUGGUGGUAUGGCUAUGCUGGUCAACCCAGUCCUCAGCCAUAGCCUUCAGGGCAACUGUCUGCAAGAGUGUCCACACUAAAAGUUUUGCGUAAACAAACUCAAUGUGUUAUAAACACCAGACUGUUUGUGCAGUCUAAACAAUUCUUGCUUUAGUAAUGGUGAUUUUUCACCAUUUAAUUUAAACUGUAUCGUGGCUAUUAGAGUAACUGCUAGCCUUUAAAAGUCUGAAUUUGUAAAGUCCAACUUAAAAGACCAUGCGCUUGCUUGGAAUUGUUUGUCUCCUACGUCUCCUAUCAUUGGUAACAUUCUGUGACAUUUAUCAAUUUAAAAUCUGUCCUCUCAAGUGGAUGACCUAACCACAAAGCAGCAAUUGUGGCAUUCUGCUCUGUUCAUCCUAUCAAAACACUAUUGCUACCUUAAAAUUUCAAUAACGUGUGAGUGUUUCCUUCUGGAACAUGGUGCCAUGAUACUGAAAUAGCUUGAAAGAGUUCAACUUGUGUGGAGUAGAUACGAUGCAAAACAUUAAGGAGAACUAUAAAUUUGGAUGAUACACUCAUGAAAGAUCCUUUAAACUUAAAUGGCAAUAGAUAAAAUAAGAAAAAAUAAAAUACCCAAGAACUGUAAAUUUAACAAUUAAAUUUGCAUUUUAACAGCCAGAGCCAUUUGGUGAAAAGACUACAUUUCUAAAAGCAGAGUGGUACACAAGGCUGCCUGAACACACUUCUUUUCCUGAUCAGGUUCCCAAAGCAGGUUUGUGAUUAAGAACCAAGCAUGUGGCAGUUCAGAUAUUUGCUACGUUUACACAGGUUUAUAUACUGUAUAUGUGAGUCCAUAACGAAAAAAUCAGAAAUGUGGAAGGCAAAGUCUAAAAUGAGGAGAUCCUUGAUGUAUGCCAAGUAACUCAUCAAGGUAACUCGAACAGACAAACUUGUGUUAAGUUGUUGAUCGUUUUAAACACUUAUAGCCCUUACUCAAGCGCAGUCAGCCUGACGCUUAUUCUGGUUUCUGUAGUGUUAAGCAUGUUGAGAGCACGUGACCCGCCACUAGAAAGAACAAAGGGUGCUUAGAGAAUCUAAAACUUGAAUUUGAACCUUACAUUGAUGAUGCACAGGAUAAAUGUGAAUUUUAAAAUGUGUUAUUAUGAACAAAGUCAACUAAAUUAUAUACCAGAUAAUUUUAACAAAAUCUAAAAGACCAGAUUUUUAAAGCCUUGCUGCCUUGCUUACAAAAAUAAACUAAAGAAAAAAAUACUUGUGGUGUUUUUCAACUGUUAUUAUUUUGGUGAAACUGAUGUAGUACUUCACCUCUGUUUGGAAGUCAGAAUUUCGAAUAUGAUUUGACCAUUUCAUUUUAGGAAUAUUGUCACUUGCAAAAGAAAAUAUCUUACCUUAUCUUACCUUACCAUGUUCAUUUGUUUGAAAUAAAGCAGAGCACCAACAACACCAAAAUUUACAUUAUUAUCCCAUGGCCCCAAAAUAAAAUGCCUUCUAAAACAUUUUAGUAUAGAUGCAGUGGCCAUCUAAUAAAUAUUUCCAUUUGACAAAACACGUCAUCUUUCAGCUUUACUUAUUUUUAUGCGAUAAUGUUAUUGGUGAGACAAAGGCCAAAAGGAACCUUACUUUUUUGAGGAGCAGAUUAAAUGCAUCUUCAUCUUGAAUUAAAAUUGUUGAAUCAAAAAUAAAGUGCAAUCAGUUCUGAACAUCACAAUUCUGAAUGCCUUGAAGUUAUUUUUGUGAAACUGAUGUUCUAUUUCACUUUUGUCAAAAAAGCCUGUGUGUUUUAGGUCAGAUCUUUCAUUUUUGUUUCCUGGAAAAAAAGCAUUUGCUUUUGCAAACUGGUUCUGUCAUAUUUUGUGUCCAACAAUUCAUUAUGUUGCCUCUUUUAAUUGUGAGUACUUUAUGUAUGGAGCAUCAGAAACAUUUUAUAUAAACUGUUACCAAAUUCAGGGGAUUGAAAUUUUAUUGACUGUUUUUUUUUCAUACCCUAAUUAGGACCAGUCCUAAGCUUGCUUAUCUAAAUAUUUAUUAGGUAAUGCAAUAUUAGAAAAAAUAAACUUGAUUAAAUAAAUGUGCAGGUUUUGAAGAGAUUUGAAAGAGAUUUUGUGCCAAAUUGUUUGUAUUACAAAAUAUAUUCCUACGUUAUCUGGCCACAUUAUAGUAUUGUAACUUGUUCCAGUUUCUAUAAAAAUGGUUGCAAAGGAAUGCUAAGACUUAUAAAAAUUCUAAAGAUGUAUGGGACAAUUCUCACUGCAAUGAUCAAAAGUUACCCAAGCAAUUAUAAUUGUAUAUUUAAACUUUUGAUUUUGUGGGUUGACUUAAGUUUUAGUAUACAAUUGUUAUUCUGAUUAUAUAUGCAUUCUGUAAUCAAAUCAAAGUUUAUUUAUCAAAUGCACAACAAAACAGCAUGCAGCAGUAGUUGCUGGCAAUGAAAUGUCUUUAAGAAGGAAGGUGCUGUUGACGAGGAUGGGGUUACCAUUUUUGCCCUUAUCUGAAGAGAUUUUGUGCUGUUAUGAGAUAAUCAAUCUGAAAUUAAAAUUAAUCUGUCUGCAUCCUAUGUAUCGAUUAGACAUCAGAAGGUUAUGUUGCAUGAUGGAGAGAAUCAGUUUGGCUUUUUGUAGCAGGUGAAAUGUAAUUAUUAGUUAUUAGUGUGUAAAUGGUUGUGUGAAUUUGUACACUGCGAUAGGCUGGAGUCCCUGCAAGAUUACUUCAACUCACUUCGACCCUUGGAGGAUAAAGCAUUUUCUGAAAAGUGAUGGAUGAGUGAUUGAAUAAAUGACACUGAAGAUUGGAGUACAGCUGUCUUCCAAGUGAUUAAUAAUCCUACGAACAUCCAUCUAUGUUCCCCAGGAGAGCCUUUUGGUUGCCAUACUUCUUGAUAUGGGAAGAUCUUUGUUAUUGAAGCCCUCCUCAGCUUGGGAGAAGAACAAGGACACCUGGGUGAAGCAGUGGUCACGUUAGGGAGCAAGACAUAAAUGAGGCUUCUCAAGGACAACUUAAGGAUUCCUUUUUAGAAUUUAUUUUUAAUAGAGUGAAUAGUGAUCCUACAACUCAGAAUGUAUUUAUUAUCUGCAACACUUUAGUCAAUCUUUUACAAUCUAAAUCUAUUUGCUGCUGCUUGUUUUACAUAAUGGAUAUUUCACCCAGCUAUGACUGUUAACAAGAGAUAUGAAUGACUGAAUUACAUGAAUCCUGGUGCCAUCAGUUUUUAAAAAGAAAAAGAACAGUCUUAUUGUACAGUUUUCACUUUACAGAUCCAAAAAUAAUGUGAAGCAUUGGUUUUCUGAAAUCAUACAGUAGGUCUUAAAAUUCGGUAUGUUAUUAUUUUUAAUAGCUGCAGCAUUGUUACCCUUUUCAUGCCAAUACGUUUCUAUAUUUCCAUAAAAAAGGAAGAGUUAUUUUUGUGUUUAUCUUAGACUACUUUCUAUGCUGGUGAUCGAUGUAUCUUUCUGUUCUUGCUCUAUUUAAUGUUUCGUUAGAAGAAAGCACUUUAUCUUUACCUUGGUGGCCUGCUGUAAACCAGUUUUGAGUUUCUAUGUCACAACACUAACUGGAGUUCCUCAGAUAAAAGCAUUAAAUGGUUCUUGUAACAUGGAUAAAUAAACAAUUAAUUUGAAAGCAACAGUUCUUAUAUGGGGGUGUAUACACUAUUCUUGCACUUAAUUUAAGUGUAUUGUACAUUUUCCCAAAUGUUCCGUUCGAGUAAUGAAUUCUAUGCAUCAUGUUUUGUAUAAAGCUUUAAAAUAUUGAAUGAAUGCUGUGAAUGCAACACCAGUUUAUUCUAAAGAGGAAGUCAGUGAUCAGGCUUACUAUUAUUGAAAUGAAAGGACUUAUUGAAGCUCAAGAAUAUAAGAAAUAUUUGCCUGACGUGUUUUAAAAAAUAAAUUACACAGUAAGUAAUGAGGUUGGGGGUUGAAGGGAGAGGAGUUUAAAACAUACGUAUUGCAUAUUUAAGGCUCACUGUAAUUGCACUGCCCUAAAAAAAGGGCUUGGUUUCUAUUUCUUUACAUAUGUAUAUUUUUGAGAACAUUUGGACAGUGUUCACAUAUUCAUGCCGUUUCACUUGUAUAACCUGCUGGUUUUUGAAGACUGGAAACAACAGGUGAAGAUAUUGCAUAAAGCAAUAAAGUAACUUGCUGUGACCCAUCCCAACUUACUGAGCUAUUUUUGAUUUACUGUACGUAAAAUAAAAUAUACAAGCAA